This is a non-coding RNA of Bombyx mori (domestic silkworm), 84 nucleotides long. The record is from Rfam. NCBI's taxonomy places the organism in Eukaryota, Metazoa, Arthropoda, Insecta, Lepidoptera, Bombycidae.
UUCAUUCAGAUUCGUAUGGAGUUGGAAUUUUUGCCUACGUUUGCCGCUAGGGGCGCUGUUCCAACUGCAUACAAAUUUGAGUUA